UCCGUAGGCGGGCGACUAAGUCAGAGGUGAAAUCCCACAGCUUAACUGUGGAACUGCCUUUGAUACUGGUUGUCUUGAGUUAUAGUGAAGUGGAUAGAAUAUGUAGUGUAGCGGUGAAAUGCUUAGAUAUUACAUAGAAUACCGAUUGCGAAGGCAGUCUACUAACUAUAUACUGACGCUAAUGGACGAAAGCGUGGGGAGCGAACAGGAUUAGAUACCCUGGUAGUCC
RNAcentral lists this ribosomal RNA (229 nucleotides) under uncultured bacterium. RNAcentral describes it as "partial 16S ribosomal RNA". It matches the Rfam family "Bacterial small subunit ribosomal RNA", at positions 568 to 796 of the family's 1533-position model. The record is from RNAcentral.